Molecule: ribosomal RNA, 253 nt
Filed under: uncultured bacterium
Lineage: Bacteria
Description: partial 16S ribosomal RNA
Rfam family: Bacterial small subunit ribosomal RNA
Source: RNAcentral
UACGGAGGGUGCAAGCGUUAAUCGGAAUUACUGGGCGUAAAGCGCACGCAGGUGGCUGAGUCAGUCGAUUGUGAAAGCCCUGGGCUUAACCUGGGAAUUGCAGUCGAUACUACUCAGCUAGAGUAUGGGAGAGGGCAGUGGAAUUCCCGGUGUAGCGGUGAAAUGCGCAGAUAUCAGGAAGAACACCCGUGGCGAAGGCGGUUCUCUGGGACGGUACUGACGCUGAGACGCGAAAGCGUGGGGAGCGAACAGG